RNAcentral lists this ribosomal RNA (505 nucleotides) under uncultured bacterium. RNAcentral's name for it is "partial 16S ribosomal RNA". It matches the Rfam family "Bacterial small subunit ribosomal RNA", at positions 28 to 507 of the family's 1533-position model. The record is from RNAcentral.
GACGAACGCUGGCGGCGUGCCUAAUACAUGCAAGUAGAACGCACAGUUUAUACCGUAGCUUGCUACACCAUAAACUGUGAGUUGCGAACGGGUGAGUAACGCGUAGGUAACCUGCCUGGUAGCGGGGGAUAACUAUUGGAAACGAUAGCUAAUACCGCAUAAUAUUGAUUAUUGCAUGAUAAUUGAUUGAAAGAUGCUAUUGCAUCACUACCAGAUGGACCCGCGUUGUAUUAGCUAGUAGGUGAGGUAACGGCUCACCUAGGCGACGAUACAUAGCCGACCUGAGAGGGUGAUCGGCCACACUGGGACUGAGACACGGCCCAGACUCCUACGGGAGGCAGCAGUAGGAAAUCUUCGGCAAUGGACGAAAGUCUGACCGAGCAACGCCGCGUGAGUGAAGAAGGUUUUCGGAUCGUAAAGCUCUGUUGUAAGAGAAGAACGGGUGUGAGAGUGGAAAGUUCACACUGUGACGGUAUCUUACCAGAAAGGGACGGCUAACUACGUG